AGGAGAACAUUGUUUGAUGGUAAAACAGUUGCCUUUUAAGCAGCCCGCGUUUGGUUUGAUUCCAACUUCUUCUA
RNAcentral lists this transfer RNA (74 nucleotides) under Zygosaccharomyces bailii ISA1307. RNAcentral's name for it is "transfer RNA-Lys(TTT)". It matches the Rfam family "tRNA". From Rfam's summary of the family: Transfer RNA (tRNA) molecules are approximately 80 nucleotides in length. Their secondary structure includes four short double-helical elements and three loops (D, anti-codon, and T loops). Further hydrogen bonds mediate the characteristic L-shaped molecular structure. tRNAs have two regions of fundamental functional importance: the anti-codon, which is responsible for specific mRNA codon recognition, and the 3' end, to which the tRNAs corresponding amino acid is attached (by aminoacyl-tRNA synthetases). tRNAs cope with the degeneracy of the genetic code in two manners: having more than one tRNA (with a specific anti-codon) for a particular amino acid; and 'wobble' base-pairing, i.e. permitting non-standard base-pairing at the 3rd anti-codon position. Lineage: Eukaryota; Fungi; Ascomycota; Saccharomycetes; Saccharomycetales; Saccharomycetaceae. The record is from RNAcentral.